Molecule: long non-coding RNA, 1102 nt
Organism: Scylla paramamosain (green mud crab)
Lineage: Eukaryota; Metazoa; Arthropoda; Malacostraca; Decapoda; Portunidae
Exons: 2
Source: RefSeq, a predicted model, not a curated record
AGAGAGAGAGAGAGAGAGAGAGAGAGAGAGAGAGAGAGUGGUGGCAGUGUGGCGUAAGGGGGUAAUGAGGUCCCUGAGGUCCUUCUCUAUUUGUAUGUUUUGUAUUUGUCAUGGUUACAGUUUUGCUUUGUUGGGUUACCUUUGCGUGCUGUGUUGGGGGGAGGGGCUUUGGAGGGGCGUGGGGUCACCUGGGGGCGCCUUGAACUUGCUCGCGGCACUUGGGGAUCGUGGCGAGAACGGAUAUUCUUAUUUUAGGUGAGAAGCCAGCUAGGUGACGUCACUCCUCCACUCAUGCGGGGAGAGGGAGAGGGAGAGAGGGAGAGAAAUGCCACCCUCCCAUGCAUUUCGCUCCCUGGCCCCACUCCUGUCUUCACCGGCGGCCCAUUGGAGUGACAAGAGGGUCUUUUAUCACGAUAUUCCCCCGGAAGGAAAUUUCAGGAGAUUAGUAAGAGUUUGGCCCAGUGAGACGAGUUGCCGGGCGGUGGUGGUGGUUGUCGUGGGGGUGGUGAUGGUGGUGGCGUCUGGCAUCCGAGCCCCGUCAGCGGUGGCCGAGACGAGAAUUUUUGAACGUGUUAUUUCACGGGUAUUUCGGGGAUGUUUCGGGAAUUAAAGGGGGUGAGGUGUAGCGCAGAUCCUCGUGGAGUGUCGCGUGUAGGCGUGGGGGCGGUAGGGAAGGCGUGGCGGCCGUGGCACAGACAGAGGCCUCGGCCCUCCCCCGCCCUAGCCUUCUACCGUCAGUCUAAACACGCCGCCGCCGCCAGACAUUAGUUGCUUCCCGGCUGCCGUGUGCGCUGUACGCUGCCGCCUUGCACAGGCGACAGACAUACAGACAGAGAAGACACGCACACAUUUUCUCUUUAAAGCCUAAAAGAGAAAGAAAGAAAGAGUGUGAGCAAAGUAAAGGAAAAGAGAAACCCAACCCAAAAAAACGUAUAUUGGAGAAAAUUGGCGAAGAGUAAACAAGAAUCAAAUAAAAAUAAAGAAAGCCAUAAAAAAAAAAAACUGAAAUUCAACACAGGUAUUAGUGCCUUAUUAAAAUUAAAGGGGAAAAAAUCAGUGAUAAAGGAGAAUAUCAUAAGUGAACAUAUAAUAAAGUGUGCAA